Molecule: long non-coding RNA, 3503 nt
Organism: Corapipo altera (White-ruffed manakin)
Lineage: Eukaryota; Metazoa; Chordata; Aves; Passeriformes; Pipridae
Exons: 3
Source: RefSeq, a predicted model, not a curated record
UGGCCUCACAGCUCCCUAGUUCAACAAUUGCUAAGGAGCUUUUAUUAACAUCUCAAAUACCUCCUUUCCCUUCUCCCUUUCUCAGAGGGGGUAAGAAAUGCUUCAGAUUCUUGAGUUUAGAAGAGCUUGGGGGCAUUCUUCUUAGCGGAAGAUAAACUGAAAGGAGAACAGCAUCCCUCCUCAGCCCCUCUGUCACCCUGCACCUGUCAGGCUUAUGACUUGCCAGGUUUGGGUGAGGUACUGAUAAAGGAAGCAUACUUUAAAGAGACUGACAAAUCCAUCUAAAUGCUGUUUAAUUCAUCUUGAUAAGAAAGGGCUGUGGAGAGCUUUAUGCCACCUUUGCUUCUCUUUUCCUUCUGUAGUUCUCAGGCUGGGCCAUGUUUUCACAAAACCAAGAUUUCAGUAGCAGAGUGACUGUACUAUUUGAAAAACAGGACUAAGUUCAGAGAAUACAUAAAAGUGAUAGCAUUUAACUACUUCACAUUUUUUAUUCACUGUUUUAAUUGCUUUUCAGCAUCAGUCACCUUUAACAGACCCCUAAACAAAAGGCAUCUAAAUGGAUGUUCACUUCCCUCUUCCUCUCCCAGUAGGAAUUUAGUCUCCCAUUUUUUCCCCCCUCCUUACAAAAAACCAUGAGAGCCCCCCUACAUUCAGCUUGCUGCCUUUCCUGAGGUUACUGUGUGAGCUUUUUCUCCACUAAUGGUGCCUCUCAGCUUACCCCAUGUUCGCUGUUUGUUUUUGGGCUCAGCCUGCAAUAGUAAUCAAGGCCAAAUAUUUGCUCAAAUGAAGUGGCUCUGUGGUUCUCAUUCCAGGAAGCUGGCUGAGGACAAAGUGAAACUAGCUUGAAACACACUGGUAUGCCCAAGAGAUGCUAGGAGCAAGGGAUUUUUCCAGAGCUGUAGAAAGUCAUCCAGAUUCUCACUGUAGCUUUGUUGUGGGAACUGCAGGGGAACUAACUAAUUUAUAGCCUGCCCCAAUGAAAGACACCACUUUUAUCUGCCAGAAACCAAAGUCAGUCCAGUUAAAGCCAAACUUUAAGACGGUUCUGUUGGGCUGCAACCAGAAAGAAGACCCAGUGUGAAGUCACACAAGCAUUCAUUCUCCCUGUUCUGCAAGGCUAAAGCCCACAUUUUUCUGAUAAGAGGGGGCUAUAUCCUUUGUGCUUGCGAGUCAGUGGCAGGUCUUAUAAACACACCCACAGAUUCUCAGCCUAACAUAUUGCAAGCUCUGUGCAUCUGGAGCCAGUGCAUGCUUUGCUCAACAACCCCCCUUUCAUUUCUGCCAAGAUUCCCUCCCACAUUUGGGACUUUUUUCCUGCUCCCUUGAGAGCGUCCUCAAUUCUCCCAGCUCCUCCAGCCUCCCACUGUCAGAGUGGACUGUUCUGUACAGCUUUCCUGGUCUUCUCUGCCUUUGGGAACAUAUGGACCAGUGCAGGAAGCUGGGCACAAAAAUCUGUGCAUUACCCUUAUUCUCAGCCCUGUGUUUGGGUCAGGUGGAUGGACCAGAAGACUGAACUGACAGAGCUGACACAGAAAGCAGAAAAUCUCCAGGAUCUACUGGGGCAUUAGCUUUGUAGGAUGUGAGAAGUUACCAACAGAGAUACAUGACGUGCCAUCACUGUGGGAAGCCACCUUUUAGAUGAGGUGCAGACAAGCUCCAUUUAACACAGUCACCUUCUUUCCCAUUUAUCAGACCAUCAUUUCCUGGGAAUGUUCUGGAACAAGGAAAGCAAUUCACUGAGCAUCCUGUGUGUUUUCAUAACACACCACCAAUUCCUGUCAAAAAUCAAUAGCUCACUGAGGAGUAGCAGACUACUGAGCCACCCAGGCUAGCACCUGCUCUGCAAUAUUUCUCAGCUACCAAGAGACAGGAAAGCAUUAGAGGAAUCAAACCCACAGCACAGAGGUGCUCAGGGACUUAAGGACUCCUGAAAUUCCUCCAUGUGAGGUAGCAACUUGUUUUGGUCCGGGGUGUAAGGAGUUCCUGCAAGCAGUGCUGCCUUCUUGGACUGGUUCAAGGACAAAAAAAAAAAAGAUUUUCUGUGGAAUAGAAUAUUUGGACUUUGAGUUGCAAACACAAGCAUGACACAGAUCAUAAAACAUGAAAUAAGGUAGCUCUGCUCUCUUCUACACAGUGGGGCAAGGCAUUUAACCUGUUGUAAAUCCUGUCCACUCCCUCCUUGUCUUUUCUGUUUAUACAUGGAGUUAAAGCAUCCUUAAGCCUCUUACUACUCUACCACUCUCCUGAUUACAGCCACAUCUAACACUGAACUUGAAGCACACACCUGUACGAAUUCAUGAGAAAAAACUUUGCAUUACAUGGAAAAAAAAGAGUCAUAUGCAGAAAAGGAAAAAGGAAAGUGCCACCCUUCAAACUGAAGAAAGUUUUGGCCCAUGAGCUGCUGAAGAAGGAUGUGUGAAGAUAGAUGUGUGAACUGCAACCCCUCUCCUGCAGCACUUUGUAAAGCAAGUGAGCAGUCCCAGGCAGGAGGAGGCUUUCUGCAUUUUGAACAGGCCAAGGUGAGGAGUCGUGCAGGGCAGAGCACCCUGAGAAAUUGGACCUCGUGACUUGGACUUGCACAUCCAUGAGCAGAGACAUGGGAAAUGCUGCCUUUCUGGAGCUGAAGUGGGGAGGGGAGUGCUGGAAGCUGCAGACAGGAAGAGCCUGACUUGGGAAAAGCAAAGCAGGUAACAAUCAUACAACUAUUUAUGGCUCUUUUUCCUUGUGACAACUGCAGCCUUAUAAGGGCAAGAGCGCUUUACUCGGGGCAGAGCUGCGGAGGUGGAGCCUCCAGGGGCACUCCUGAUGCUUGCUCCCAGGCUAUCUGCCUGCACAAGCCGCUGACCUCCUUCCCGGGAAAAACCCUGGGAACCCUCGCUGAAUCCAGCUGUUCAAAUUUCAAAUUACAAAACGCCUCGGCUCCUCUCCCCUUUUCCCCAUACCUCCUACUAGCUGGAGCUGUGGUGAAGCAGAAAUGUCUGCGUUUGUAAUGUUGUGGGUAUCUGGGAGCAGUGGGUUGGAGAGCCCCCCGCAGCUGACGUGGGAAACCUAUUCCCAUCUGGUUGUGAUAGUACUGAGAACUGGAAGAAAAAAGAAAGGAAAAACAAACAACCCUCCUCUCGACCCCCCCUCUCCCCCAGUGUUGCUUGUCGGCCACUAGUGAGUGUGUGAAAGGCUGCAGCUGGCAAAUCUGGUGCACAAACUCUGUCGCAGAUCCUUCUGCCUAUGGUUGUGGUUUGGAGUCCCCCACUAACUCCGACUGAGCUUCCAGUGUGUGUAUGUUGGGUUCUUACACAUCUCAACCCUGUCCAAUCCACCCAGCUGAACUAUGCUGGAAAUGGGUUGCAAAUAAAACUAAACAUAAACAUGCUAAAAAUGUCACUGUCAUCAGAUAAGGUUGCUAUGUACAUAAAAUUCCUGACACGAGUUCAUUAGACCAAGGACAUGAAAAGUUAAGCCACAUGCAUAUAUUGGCUGGAAUGGGGAGGAGGGUAUGAUGAGCA